Molecule: long non-coding RNA, 345 nt
Organism: Epinephelus fuscoguttatus (brown-marbled grouper)
Lineage: Eukaryota; Metazoa; Chordata; Actinopteri; Perciformes; Serranidae
Exons: 3
Source: RefSeq, a predicted model, not a curated record
GUGGAUUUAACCCACUGGUGAAGUUCUAGAGACUGUUCGUUUUGGAUUCACAAGGCUGGUGAAGUUUUGACAGUGUUCGUCAUCUGUUCCUCUCACUUCAAGGGAAACUGACGGUAGAAGGUGGACUGGUGUUGACAUGGACUGUGGGAGCAAUGGGAGAGUAUUCAGUGUCAAUGGAUGACAUCUGGGAAGAAGAGGAACAUCACAAGACCACCUGAAGGAGCAUCUUCUCUGUGCUGAAGCGCCGAUGUAGGAAAUGUAUUCUCUGUAGCAUCAGCUGCUGUGUUUCAUGUUGAAUAUUGAAAACAUAAUAAAUAUUUUAAAUUGAGGGGUUUCUUCAUUAAA